Chloroflexi bacterium RBG_16_47_49 is the source of this 100-nucleotide non-coding RNA. The record is from Rfam. NCBI's taxonomy places the organism in Bacteria, Bacillati, Chloroflexota.
GGGUGGGUCCGGCGCGGCGGAAGCCUUCGAACCCUGUCAGGUCUGAGAAGAAGCAGCAGUAAGGAGGAUAUUCCGGGUGCCGCCGGGUAGCUUGCCCGGA